AGUGAACGCUGGCGGUAGGCCUAACACAUGCAAGUCGAACGGCAGCACAGUAAGAGCUUGCUCUUACGGGUGGCGAGUGGCGGACGGGUGAGGAAUACAUCGGAAUCUACUUUUUCGUGGGGAAUAACGUAGGGAAACUUACGCUAAUACCGCAUACGACCCACGGGUGAAAGCAGGGGAUCUUCGGACCUUGCGCGAUUGAAUGAGCCGAUGUCGGAUUAGCUAGUUGGCGGGGUAAAGGCCCACCAAGGCGACGAUCCGUAGCUGGUCUGAGAGGAUGAUCAGCCACACUGGAACUGAGACACGGUCCAGACUCCUACGGGAGGCAGCAGUGGAGAAUAUUGGACAAUGGGCGCAAGCCUGAUCCAGCCAUACCGCGUGGGUGAAGAAGGCCUUCGGGUUGUAAAGCCCUUUUGUUGGGAAAGAAAAGCAGCAGGUUAAUACCCCGCUGUUCUGACGGUACCCAAAGAAUAAGCACCGGCUAACUUCGUG
This 492-nucleotide ribosomal RNA is filed under the name uncultured bacterium. Its description in RNAcentral is "partial 16S ribosomal RNA". It matches the Rfam family "Bacterial small subunit ribosomal RNA", at positions 29 to 507 of the family's 1533-position model. The record is from RNAcentral.